This 520-nucleotide ribosomal RNA is filed under the name uncultured Glomus. RNAcentral's name for it is "SSU rRNA". It matches the Rfam family "Eukaryotic small subunit ribosomal RNA", at positions 569 to 1088 of the family's 1831-position model. The record is from RNAcentral. Lineage: Eukaryota; Fungi; Glomeromycota; Glomeromycetes; Glomerales; Glomeraceae.
AGCAGCCGCGGUAAUUCCAGCUCCAAUAGCGUAUAUUAAAGUUGUUGCAGUUAAAAAGCUCGUAGUUGAAUUUCGGGGUUAGUAGGUUGGUCAUGCCUCUGGUAUGUACUGGUCUCACUGAUUCCUCCUUCCUGAUGAGCCGUAAUGCCAUUAAUUUGGUGUUGCGGGGAAUUUGGACUGUUACUUUGAAAAAAUUUAGAGUGUUUAAAGCAAGCUAACGCUUGAAUACAUUAGCAUGGAAUAAUGAAAUAGGACGUUCGAUCCUAUUUUGUUGGUUUCUAGGAUUGACGUAAUGAUUAAUAGGGAUAGUUGGGGGCAUUAGUAUUCAAUUGUCAGAGGUGAAAUUCUUGGAUUUAUUGAAGACUAACUACUGCGAAAGCAUUUGCCAAGGAUGUUUUCAUUAAUCAAGAACGAAAGUUAGGGGAUCGAAGACGAUCAGAUACCGUCGUAGUCUUAACCAUAAACUAUGCCGACUAGGGAUCGGAUGAUGUUAAUUUUUUUAAUGACUCAUUCGGCGCCU